This 301-nucleotide ribosomal RNA is filed under the name uncultured bacterium. RNAcentral describes it as "partial 16S ribosomal RNA". It matches the Rfam family "Bacterial small subunit ribosomal RNA", at positions 509 to 807 of the family's 1533-position model. The record is from RNAcentral.
CAGCCGCCACGGGAAUACGGAGGGGGCUAGCGUUGUUCGGAAUUACUGGGCGUAAAGCGCACGUAGGCGGCUUGGUAAGUUAGAGGUGAAAGCCUGGAGCUCAACUCCAGAAUUGCCUUUAAGACUGCCGAGCUAGCAGGUGAGAGAGGUAAGUGGAAUUCCGAGUGUAGAGGUGAAAUUCGUAGAUAUUCGGAAGAACACCAGUGGCGAAGGCGGCUUACUGGCUCAUACUGGACGCUGAGGUACGAAAGCGUGGGGAGCAAACAGGAUUAGAUACCCCUGUAGUCCCUGUCUCUUAUAC